This 332-nucleotide ribosomal RNA is filed under the name uncultured myxomycete. RNAcentral describes it as "bacterial SSU rRNA". It matches the Rfam family "Eukaryotic small subunit ribosomal RNA", at positions 80 to 365 of the family's 1831-position model. Lineage: Eukaryota; Evosea; Eumycetozoa. The record is from RNAcentral.
UCUGAAUCUGCGNACGGCUCCGCAAACCAGUUGUAAACUAUAGCAAGCAAGCCUGGGUUCUCCUCACGGGGGGCUCGGGCAAAACGGAUAACCCUGGUAAUUCUGAGGCUAAUACGAGAUCGUACUCCCUGGCUGACCGGGCAACUGGAAGGCUGGGGGGUGUGUGAUUUAGCACGAGGAAACUGCUGGGAAUAGACACAUGCCUGGACCGCGCCAAAAACAGAUGGGGCUUCCCGCAAGGGUCGUCCUGCCUGAGCGGCUCUUGCUUUGUGCUUCUGACCUAUCAACUAGAUGGCAGCGUAACGGACAUGCUAUGGUGACAACGGGUACAG